RNAcentral lists this ribosomal RNA (460 nucleotides) under uncultured bacterium. Its description in RNAcentral is "partial 16S ribosomal RNA". It matches the Rfam family "Bacterial small subunit ribosomal RNA", at positions 338 to 795 of the family's 1533-position model. The record is from RNAcentral.
CCUACGGGUGGCAGCAGUGAGGAAUAUUGGUCAAUGGGCGCGAGCCUGAACCAGCCAAGUAGCGUGAAGGAUGACUGCCCUACGGGUUGUAAACUUCUUUUAUCAAGGAAUAAAGUGAGGCACGUGUGCCUUUUUGUAUGUACUUUAUGAAUAAGAAUCGGCUAACUCCGUGCCAGCAGCCGCGGUAAUACGGAGGAUCCGAGCGUUAUCCGGUUUUAUUGGGUUUAAAGGGAGCGUAGAUGGGUUGUUAAGUCAGUUGUGAAAGUUUGCGGCUCAAGCGUAAAAUUGCAAUUGAUACUGGCAGCCUUGAGUGCAGUUGAGGUAGGCGGAAUGCGUGGUGUAGCGGUGAAAUGCUUAGAUAUCACGAAGAACUCCGAUUGCGAAGGCAGCUUACUAAACUGCCACUGACAUUGAUGCUCGAAAGUGUGGGUAUCAAACAGGAUUAGAUACCCGAGUAGUC